Manduca sexta (tobacco hornworm) is the source of this 329-nucleotide long non-coding RNA. RefSeq lists it as uncharacterized. NCBI's taxonomy places the organism in Eukaryota, Metazoa, Arthropoda, Insecta, Lepidoptera, Sphingidae. The transcript has 3 exons. The record is from RefSeq and is a predicted model, not a curated record.
GGGCAAGGAAAAUAUUAGGUCUCAUAGCUGUAAAAAACACUUCACCAUUAAAUGAAUCCGUAACAGGGGAACUAAAUAUUGGUGAUGAGGAUUAUGACGAUGAGUUACAAAAUGAAAAUAAAAAUCCUGUUGUUGAUUAUAUGGGUAAACAAAUAAUGGAAGAAUCGGUUAAGUGCAUUGAAAACACUAAUAAUAUUGAGACUGCAGAAAAAAUCCAGUUUUCCAACAAACAGCCCAAUGUGUCUUUAGUACCCUAUUACGAAAGUGAUAUGACAUUGAGUGAAGAUGAACAAGACAAUACUACUCAACUUUCUACUACGGAGGCGACA